GGAUUAGAUACCCUGGUAGUCCACGCCGUAAACGAUGUCUACUAGCCGUUGGGAGACUUGAUCUUUUAGUGGCGCAGCUAACGCGAUAAGUAGACCGCCUGGGGAGUACGGCCGCAAGGUUAAAACUCAAAUGAAUUGACGGGGGCCCGCACAAGCGGUGGAGCAUGUGGUUUAAUUCGACGCAACGCGAAGAACCUUACCAACUCUUGACAUCCAGAGAAGUUACUAGAGAUAGUUUCGUGCCUUCGGGAACGCAGAGACAGGUGCUGCAUGGCUGUCGUCAGCUCGUGCCG
This 293-nucleotide ribosomal RNA is filed under the name uncultured bacterium. Its description in RNAcentral is "partial 16S ribosomal RNA". It matches the Rfam family "Bacterial small subunit ribosomal RNA", at positions 775 to 1067 of the family's 1533-position model. The record is from RNAcentral.